RNAcentral lists this ribosomal RNA (672 nucleotides) under Streptosporangium sp. YIM 61375. Its description in RNAcentral is "bacterial SSU rRNA". It matches the Rfam family "Bacterial small subunit ribosomal RNA", at positions 83 to 768 of the family's 1533-position model. The record is from RNAcentral. Lineage: Bacteria; Bacillati; Actinomycetota; Actinomycetes; Streptosporangiales; Streptosporangiaceae.
CGGGUACUCGAGGCGGCGACGGGUGAGUAACAACGGGAGUAACCUUGCCCCUGACUCUUGGGAUAAAGCCCGGGAAACCUGGGUUUAAUAACCGGAAACGACCCCUCCUGGCAUCGGGUGGGUGGUGGAAAGGUUUUUCGGUUGGGGAUGGACUCGCGGCCUAUCAGCUUGUUGGUGGGGUAACGGCCUACCAAGGCGACGACGGGUAGCCGGCUGAGAGGGCGACCGGCCACACUGGGACUGAGACACGGCCCAGACUCUACGGGAGGCAGCAGUGGGGAAUAUUGCGCAAUGGGCGAAAGCCUGACGCAGCGACGCCGCGUGGGGGAUGACGGCCUUCGGGUUGUAAACCUCUUUCAGCAGGGACGAAGGUGACGUGUACCUGCAGAAGAAGCGCCGGCUAACUACGUGCCAGCAGCCGCGGUAAUACGUAGGGCGCAAGCGUUGUCCGGAAUUAUUGGGCGUAAAGAGCUCGUAGGUGGCUUGUCACGUCGGGUGUGAAAGCUUGGGGCUUAACUCCAGGUCUGCAUUCGAUACGGGCUGGCUAGAGGUAGGUAGGGGAGAACGGAAUUCCUGGUGUAGCGGUGAAAUGCGCAGAUAUCAGGAGGAACACCGGUGGCGAAGGCGGUUCUCUGGGCCUUACCUGACGCUGAGGAGCGAAAGCGUGGGGAG